Molecule: microRNA precursor, 196 nt
Filed under: Oryza sativa Japonica Group (Japanese rice)
Lineage: Eukaryota; Viridiplantae; Streptophyta; Magnoliopsida; Poales; Poaceae
Description: MIR812 microRNA precursor family
Rfam family: MIR812 microRNA precursor family
Source: Rfam by way of RNAcentral
AAAAAGGCAAACCCUGGGUAUCCGUGUCCAACUUUGACUGUCCGUCUUAUAUGAAAUUUUUUUAUAAUUCGUAUUUUUAUUGUUGUUAGAUGAUAAAACAUGAUUAAUAUUUUAUGCGUGAUUUGUCUUUUUAUUUUUUUUCAUAAUUUUUUAAAAUAAGACGGACGGUUAAACGUUGGGCACAGAAACCAGGGUU